AUUAUGAAAGCAAAAAAUUAUGGCGGUAUUUUAAGCUUUUCAGAGGAAUUUGCUCUUUAAUGGAUAAAACACCUAAAUCUUACUUAAAUUUGUUAAUUCAAUUUGUAUACCACUAUAAAAACAAUUUAUAACUUUAAUUGUUGGUAUUUAUUAAAUUAAAAUAUAUUAAGUCAAGGUGCAGUAAAAAUUUAAGGAUGAAGUGAAUUACAUUACUUUUUAGAGAAAUAAAUUUAAAAUAAUAUUUAGGAUUUGAAAGUAAAAUUAAAAUAUAAUGUUAAUU
RNAcentral lists this ribosomal RNA (280 nucleotides) under Rhipicephalus turanicus. RNAcentral's name for it is "partial 12S ribosomal RNA". Lineage: Eukaryota; Metazoa; Arthropoda; Arachnida; Ixodida; Ixodidae. The record is from RNAcentral.